RNAcentral lists this long non-coding RNA (226 nucleotides) under Mytilus galloprovincialis (Mediterranean mussel). Lineage: Eukaryota; Metazoa; Mollusca; Bivalvia; Mytilida; Mytilidae. The record is from RNAcentral.
UUUUUAGCUCACCUGGCCCAAAGGGCCAAGUGAGCUUUUCCCAUCACUUUGCGUCCGGCAUCUGUCGUUCGUCGUCCGGCGUCGUUAACUUUUACAAAAAUCUUCUCCUCUGAAACUACUGGGCCAAAUUAAACCAAACUUGGCCACAAUCAUCAUUUGGGUAUCUAGUUUAAAAAAUGUGUCCGGUGACCCGGCCAACCAACCAAGAUGGCCGCCAUGGCUAAAA